CACAAGGGCGGACAGCAUGCUGCUGCAGCUCUGCAGUGAUUAGGCUCAAUAACUCACUUUUCUUUCCUCUCUUCCUCUCGGUCAAUAAGCUGUUAUUUUAAACUCUAAAUAGAAAUCAGUGUUCUGUAUGUUUGCUUAGCGGUUUUACAGCAGCAAUAAGUUGGUUAAUUUGUAAGCAGAAGGUGAGGAUCAAGGACAAAGAGCUCCUGAAAGCAGGUUAGAUUCAGCGAGAUUCAAUCAAGUCUUUCCAAAGAUUCUCAGUUGGAUUCAGUCUGGACUUUAACUAGGCCAUUCUAAAUCAUGGAUCUGCUUUCCGGCAAGGCAACGCUGGAUGCUUUGUGUGCCGAACAGAUAGAGCUUCACUGGACUGAAGAACACAAGGUGGAUGUUCGAGCACCAGUUUAACUUUAACAUUAUGUGUAUUAUAAAACCCCUAGACAUUG
Gambusia affinis (western mosquitofish) is the source of this 443-nucleotide long non-coding RNA. RefSeq lists it as uncharacterized. The record is from RefSeq and is a predicted model, not a curated record. The transcript is spliced from 2 exons. NCBI's taxonomy places the organism in Eukaryota, Metazoa, Chordata, Actinopteri, Cyprinodontiformes, Poeciliidae.